GACGUCACCGUGUUGUUCAGGUCUGUGCUGAGUAUGCAGCCAUCCCAUCAACAGGCCUGUCCUGAAGGGUGGGGGGCUGCCAAGGAGCUGGAUUCUGAGGCAGGACUGAGAAGCCAACCCCACUUCUCUUCCUAGUGUCUCCGGUGACUCUGCAGAAUUCACAUAACCUUGAAGCCAGGGUUGAAAUAUGCCGUCGCAGAGGUUCCUGGACAAAAGAAAUGACUGGCUAACUGGCCGAAGACCUCCUCGGCCCCGUAUGGUUAAGUCAGCUAGACUUUCCUGAAGCGUUUGUGCCCAUGGGCUGGCAGAUGUGAGCUGGGUCGCUCUGAUAACUCCCCCUGAAGCUGCCCCCGCUGUCCUUCCGGCUUCUUGUCUGUCUGCUCGACUCCUGAUGCUUGGAUCUGUGUCUUAUUUAUGCUUCUUAAUUUUUGGACUGUUUUUGCUACUGUAUCUUCCUAGUUUGACUCCUGACCCUUAUAAAAUGGGGUGGGGACCUGCCCUCUGAGCCUUUAUUAAUUUCAAACUUCCUGAGUUAAAUUCCCACCCC
RNAcentral lists this long non-coding RNA (547 nucleotides) under Marmota monax (woodchuck). Lineage: Eukaryota; Metazoa; Chordata; Mammalia; Rodentia; Sciuridae. The record is from RNAcentral.